AAGAGUUUAGUUUAUAGUUAAAAUGUUAGAUUGUAAAUCUAAAGAAAAUAUUCUUA
RNAcentral lists this transfer RNA (56 nucleotides) under Uncinaria sanguinis. Its description in RNAcentral is "tRNA-Tyr". The record is from RNAcentral. Lineage: Eukaryota; Metazoa; Nematoda; Chromadorea; Rhabditida; Ancylostomatidae.